CAGCCGUAAACUAUGCGCGUUAGGUGUACUGGUGACCACGAGUCACCGGGGUGCCGAAGGGAAACCGUGAAACGUGCCGCCUGGGAAGUACGGUCGCAAGGCUGAAACUUAAAGGAAUUGGCGGGGGAGCACCACUACGGGUGGAGCCUGCGGUUUAAUUGGACUCAACGCCGGAAAUCUCACCGGAUAGGACAGACAUAUGAUAGUCGGGCUGAAGACUCUACUUGAUGAUCUGAGAGGUGGUGCAUGGCGUCAGUGACU
RNAcentral lists this ribosomal RNA (261 nucleotides) under uncultured archaeon. Its description in RNAcentral is "partial 16S ribosomal RNA". It matches the Rfam family "Archaeal small subunit ribosomal RNA", at positions 748 to 1008 of the family's 1478-position model. The record is from RNAcentral.